Molecule: ribosomal RNA, 392 nt
Filed under: uncultured bacterium
Lineage: Bacteria
Description: bacterial SSU rRNA
Rfam family: Bacterial small subunit ribosomal RNA
Source: RNAcentral
AUUGAACGCUGGCGGCAUGCCUUACACAUGCAAGUCGAACGGUAGAAGGAGCAAUCCUUCGAGAGUGGCGAACGGGUGAGUAAUACAUCGGAACGUACCUGGUAGUGGGGGAUAGCCCGGCGAAAGCCGGAUUAAUACCGCAUAAGACCUGAGGGUGAAAGCGGGGGACCGUAAGGCCUCGCGCUACCGGAGCGGCCGAUGUCAGAUUAGCUAGUUGGUGGGGUAAAAGCCUACCAAGGCGACGAUCUGUAGCUGGUCUGAGAGGACGACCAGCCACACUGGGACUGAGACACGGCCCAGACUCCUACGGGAGGCAGCAGUGGGGAAUUUUGGACAAUGGGCGCAAGCCUGAUCCAGCCAUGCCGCGUGAGUGAAGAAGGCCUCGGUGUAAG